CAGCGCCACGAGUGGCAAUCGUGUAUUUGGCCUAAAGCGUCCGUAGCCGGAUUUGUAAAUCUUUUGUGAAAUCGUUGAGCUCAACUUAACGGCGUGCAGAAGACACUGCGAGUCUUGAGACCGGGAGGAGAUAGAGGUAUUCUAGGGGGAGCGGUAAAAUGCUAUAAUCCCUGGAGGACCACCAGUGGCGAAGGCGUCUAUCCAGAACGGAUCUGACGGUGAGGGACGAAAGCCAGGGGAGCGAACUGGAUUAGAUACCCGCGUAGUCC
Molecule: ribosomal RNA, 269 nt
Filed under: uncultured archaeon
Lineage: Archaea
Description: partial 16S ribosomal RNA
Rfam family: Archaeal small subunit ribosomal RNA
Source: RNAcentral